RNAcentral lists this transfer RNA (73 nucleotides) under Lentibacillus amyloliquefaciens. It matches the Rfam family "tRNA". Rfam says of the family: Transfer RNA (tRNA) molecules are approximately 80 nucleotides in length. Their secondary structure includes four short double-helical elements and three loops (D, anti-codon, and T loops). Lineage: Bacteria; Bacillati; Bacillota; Bacilli; Caryophanales; Bacillaceae. The record is from Rfam by way of RNAcentral.
GCUGGUGUGGCACAGUUGGCAGCGCGGCUCACUCGUAAUGAGCAGGUCGGAGGUUCAAGUCCUCUCACCAGCA